Molecule: ribosomal RNA, 484 nt
Filed under: Stenotrophomonas hibiscicola
Lineage: Bacteria; Pseudomonadati; Pseudomonadota; Gammaproteobacteria; Lysobacterales; Lysobacteraceae
Description: [Pseudomonas] hibiscicola partial 16S rRNA
Source: RNAcentral
UCGCCCAGUAUCCACUGCAGUUCCCAGGUUGAGCCCAGGGCUUUCACAACGGACUUAAACGACCACCUGCGCGCGCUUUACGCCCAGUAAUUCCGAGUAACGCUUGCACCCUUCGUAUUACCGCGGCUGCUGGCACGAAGUUAGCCGGUGCUUAUUCUUUGGGUACCGUCAUCCCAACCGGGUAUUAGCCAGCUGGAUUUCUUUCCCAACAAAAGGGCUUUACAACCCGAAGGCCUUCUUCACCCACGCGGUAUGGCUGGAUCAGGCUUGCGCCCAUUGUCCAAUAUUCCCCACUGCUGCCUCCCGUAGGAGUCUGGACCGUGUCUCAGUUCCAGUGUGGCUGAUCAUCCUCUCAGACCAGCUACGGAUCGUCGCCUUGGUGGGCCUUUACCCCGCCAACUAGCUAAUCCGACAUCGGCUCAUUCAAUCGCGCAAGGUCCGAAGAUCCCCUGCUUUCACCCGUAGGUCGUAUGCGGUAUUAGCG